GUUAAUGAUGACUUACCACAUUUAUCACGACGGUCUACUGUGUAUCGGGACUGUUAAUCCCUUUACUUUGAUGAUAGAUUAGGCCUUGACCGGCCGUGGCCCUGAAU
This 107-nucleotide small nucleolar RNA is filed under the name Suhomyces tanzawaensis NRRL Y-17324. RNAcentral describes it as "Candida tanzawaensis NRRL Y-17324 Small nucleolar RNA snR73". It matches the Rfam family "Small nucleolar RNA snR73". Lineage: Eukaryota; Fungi; Ascomycota; Pichiomycetes; Serinales; Debaryomycetaceae. The record is from Rfam by way of RNAcentral.